UGGGGAAUAUUGGACAAUGGGCGAAAGCCUGAUCCAGCCAUGCCGCGUGAGUGAUGAAGGCCCUAGGGUUGUAAAGCUCUUUUGUGCGGGAAGAUAAUGACGGUACCGCAAGAAUAAGCCCCGGCUAACUUCGUGCCAGCAGCCGCGGUAAUACGAAGGGGGCUAGCGUUGCUCGGAAUCACUGGGCGUAAAGGGUGCGUAGGCGGGUCUUUAAGUCAGGGGUGAAAUCCUGGAGCUCAACUCCAGAACUGCCUUUGAUACUGAAGAUCUUGAGUUCGGGAGAGGUGAGUGGAACUGCGAGUGUAGAGGUGAAAUUCGUAGAUAUUCGCAAGAACACCAGUGGCGAAGGCGGCUCACUGGACCGAUACUGACGCUGAGGCACGAAAGCGUGGGGAGCAAACAGG
RNAcentral lists this ribosomal RNA (404 nucleotides) under Actinomycetes bacterium. Its description in RNAcentral is "Actinobacteria bacterium partial 16S ribosomal RNA". It matches the Rfam family "Bacterial small subunit ribosomal RNA", at positions 355 to 776 of the family's 1533-position model. Lineage: Bacteria; Bacillati; Actinomycetota; Actinomycetes. The record is from RNAcentral.